UACUUACCUGACAGGGAGAUGCAGUAAGAGGCUCCAGACAUGCAAAUAUUUUGGAAGGAAAGGAUAGGCACAGGAAUUUUCUUAGUUUCCACAUUCAUUUUUCCUUGACCCACUGUUUUUCUAUCCUCAAGCAUAUCCCCUGUCAGCCACCAUUGUCACAGCACAGCUAUUCAAGCCUGGCUUUCGUGCUUGUUUGAGACCAGGAGGCUGGUAACACUAGUGUUUUCAGAAUUAUCCUUAAAAGGAAGACAUGAUAUUCUUUUAUGUUUUUAUUCCUUUAAGUGGGAAAAUGGAUGGCAGUGAAGUCUAAUGCUGACCAAGUCUACUUGCAAGACAAAACUGGAAAAAUAUCAGGAGCUUCUGUAGGCUUCUCUCCAUUUCUCACUGAUAAUCUAGGGAAGAAUGAGUAGGAUAUCUAUAACAUUUUCAGGAUGUAUCUUAAUUCUCUUAUACCAGACUAUGUUUUGAUGUGAUAAGCCAGAAUAUCUGCAAGAUGUACUAAAAAAUGAGUUGUUUUUUACCACUCUUUAAAUAGCAAGGUACAGACCAUCUGCAUAAAUCAUCAUAGUGUCUUUAUGUUGGUCAGUUUGUUAUUGGUUAUAGCUAAAAAUAUUUUCCCGGGCUUUAUUUUUUAACACCAAGUUCAGGAGAAAGGGUUGUUAAUCAGGUUUAAAUAUUAUUACAGCAAAAAGCAGUGAAAACAAAACCUACUGAGAACUGCCUUCCAAGAAGCACAGUAGGUAAAACUGGUGACAUAAAUCCCUCCGCUGGUACCUUUGUGCUAGAUUUGCAGCUUCAUAGAAUAUGUUCAGUUGUACUCUGCUCAGCAGCACAGUCCUGUGUCCUGACAGUUGAGUAAUGUUCUGCUCACGUCUUCCCUUGUAAAAUGAAAAAAGUUGAUAAUUUAAUAUAGAUGUGACAAGUACAAGAUAGAUUUCUGCCCAGCACAGUUCACUGCUUAAAGCAUCAGACUGAAAACCUUCUUUACAGAAAACUAGAUCCUUAAAUCUCUCCCAUCACCCACCCCCUCAAAAAUUAAACACAAUGCAAAAACAAAUUUAGACUAAAAGUUUAAUUUGUUCUUUGAUAACUUAAGCAGGGAAAAUCUUUUCUGUCUAUUGCUCCAGAAAAUGGAACAACAUCUUUUGUUUCUGCAGAAACUCUCCCCUGAACCAAGGAAGCAGUUUAUUGCUACUUCUUGUGGCCAUUGUGGUUGAAGUAAGCUGAUUGCAUUUUUGGCAAAGCACAUUGAUUUCCAUCAAUCCAAAUGAUGUUUCUGUGUGUGGCAGGGUAUGCAGUCUGAUUCCACUGGCUUUCUGAGCAAUUGUCAGUCCUACAAGUGCACUAGUGGUGGAUGAUACGCAGAAAACUGAAAGUUACCGCUCCACCCUGUCACCCAGGCAGCUUGGAGGGAGGCACAACUGGCAGGAGGCUCUGCGAGUCUGUGGGGGGUUGACCUGUUUUUGAGGAGAGCAGAGUUAAAGAAGGGGCAUGGUACCACUGUGGAAGCUGUAUCUUUGGUAGCGGCAAUAUGAGAUUGUCUCUGGAGAGGAAGAGGUUAGAACAGAAUUCAGCACCUCCAAAUCCCCAGGGAUUUCCAAAAUCUUUGAUAGUAUCAUGAACUUCCUGGAAACAUUAUACUUUCUUUUAAAAAUCAGUGCUGUAAAAGAUCCAGAUGAUUGUGUCUCACCACUAAAUUGAAUGCAGAACACCUACUGCUAUUGCUUUCCAAGGAUAUCCAUUUAAUGCCAGAAUUCAAGACCUUUAGGACAGCAUUUUGGAAGCAUAUGAAAGCAUUUUGAAAGCAUAGCCUAUUUAUACAUAUAUUUCUUACUAAGUUAACAGCAGAAUUUUCAUUGACUUCAGAGGGUUAGCCUAUUGUCAAACACUCACAUUUGCUACCCCUAGGCAUUGACCAGAAUGCAUCUUUCAAUCCUGAGCUUUGAAUUUACAGUUAUCUACAUUGGAAGGAGUAACUUUUUCUGUGCAGUUGAUGUGGUACGUAUACACUAUAUACAUAUAUGUAUAUUUACCAGAUUCCUCUAAGCCGCUCAAAUCUCCUAAAACAGAGGAAGGGAUACAAACAAAAACGUUGAAUGAAACUGACCUUUCUUAAUGUUUUCACCAAUAUCCUGCUUAUAAAUGACUCUCAAAUGUACCAGAUAAAGAGAGUACAAAUAUCUUUAAACCAAAAAAGAAUAUCAUGAAUCUCAGAACACUUAAACAGCGUUACUAAAAAAUUCAUAGCUACUGACUGUUUGCCCAAACUUGUAGUGCUGUACUAUUGACUCUGUGCUCAACCCUUCACAGAUGGGAGAUUUGCCUGGGGUAGGGAGGCUUGCAGAACUGAUGCCUAGCAUGUUAAAUAAAUCUAUAGUCAACUGGCCAGAAAGUGGAUGGUUGAGCCAUAAGGAUAGCUCUUUGUGGCUUACCUAAGAAUUCUUUGCAGUAUAUAAUUAAACCACAAAAACUAACAUCAGAGUAAUGAUAAGUGUCUAAUGUAAUGCACUUUACUGAGGAAAUUCAGGUCAACAUUCCUUCCUUUGAUCCCCAACUGGGAUAAGCUAUCACACAAGGUAUGGGUCUGGAUACUCCCUUUCUCAAGCACUGGUGGAGGUGAAAGAGUUAAAGCUGAUGGAACUGGCUAGAUUGGAUGAACUAGCUGGGAGGCAAUAAUUUUCGUUGCACAUGCCUGCAGAAUCCCUCUGCAAUUACAAGAUGGGGAGAGGGAUCUCCAAAUAAAAGGAGAUUUCUCCAGGAUGUGAAGGAGUAAACUCAGAAGUGGCAUAUCUCCAUAACUUAUUGAUCUCAAGACUUAGUAGAUCUCCAAACUCCAUUAAUUCCUGUAUCAACUCUGUUUUACUUGCAUGCUCUAAGCUGGGAGAAAGUCAGGGGCAGUGAUGGGAUGAUAUUCCACGGGUGUCAAACUACUCAGAGAGCUGUGCUCUUCAAGAGCAUGAAGGUAUUGGAAAAGGUAUCCAGGAGAAGUCUUUGUAUACCAUUUCUCUUGAAGAUAUAGUUUCCAACUUCACAGAUACCUUUAAACAUUGUUACUUUACAUAACAUUGUCUUAAACAAACCGGAAAAACAUAAUCUAGAAAAAGCUGCUAUGGAGUGUUAGCAAAAUAAUGUGAAAAAUCAAACUGAACAAACAGCUACCAGUGGUUUACUGUAAAAAUGGAAGGACAUGGUUCCACAAGGAUCUGUCCUGAACCUGAUGCUUUAACAGUCUUUCCAUUAGUGAAUUCCAUGAUAGAAUAAAUAGUGUGUUAAUUAAAUUCGAAGAUGCCAGAAAGCUUUUGAGGCUCCAGCUAUGGAAGAGAACAUGAUUACAAUUCCAAGGAGUCUUGACGAAAGAGGGUAUGAAAAAAAACCACCAGGAAGUAAUUAAAGACAAGUCCAGUUUCUGUGCUUAGACAAGAAGAAUCAUUUAUAGAAUCAAAUAUGUGAGAAACACCUGACUAAUUUACUAUCACGUAGAAAAGGAACCCAGGAUUGAAGUUGAUUACAGUUUGAACAUGAAUGGGCAAUGCUGUGCUAUGGUAAAAAAAAGGGGGGGGAAAUGUCAUGCUGCGAUGACAGGAGCAUAGCCUGCAAAAUGCACAAGGCAUUCUUCAUUUUCACAGCCCUGGAAUGGCCUCAGCUAAGUUCGUUUUUGAGUCUUGCACUGCACAGGAGACCAGAACAGAGCAGUAUACUGACAUAUAAGAAAAGAUUACAAGGUCUGGAGUCGUUUAGACUAGAUUAUAAAAAACUGAAAAGAAACACAAUAGUUGUCUUCAAAUACAUAAAAAUCUGAUGCAAAUCCCCAGGGAAUAAUUUUGCAGACAGGACAGACAACAAUUGAUUAAAGUGCAGCAAAAAUGUUGGAGCAGACUUUAGGCAGGAGAUUUUUUAAACAAUGCAGACAGUUAGCCACAGAUUUCCACUGAACCUUUCAAUUUUUCCUUUAAGUUGAGCUUAGAAAAAUGCCUACUGGGAAUUAGAAGGGUCUCAUCAUCAUGUCUGGAGGUGUAGGGACAAGACUUCUUGGAGUUCCUUCUGGUCAUAUUUUGUAAUAUUCUCUGAUCUGUUAUUGGGAGGCUUUGGGAACCACAGCAGUAGCCUCAUUCCCCUUCUCAUCCUGGGGCUGACUUUGACUAGUAGCUUCCAGUCAUGCAUUCAGAGUUUCCCAGGGCCCCAACCAUCUCCUUGAGAUGUAAUAACCUCCACUCUGCAUUUUCUGAGAUGUCUGGGUUAUCUAGGAGCAGGGUGACUUCUCUCUUGGAUGGCAUAUUACACAACUAUACAGAUCCCCCCUUUAUACAUUGCCAAGGUAUUACACAAGUAUCUUAGCAGUCGGCUGUAUUUUGCUUUCCUGACUAUUUCCCUCAGUGGGCAUCCCAGAUAGUAAUUUCCUGGGGUCUCGGCAAGCUGCAUGGUCACAGAGCGGUAGUCCCAAGGUGACAUAUUAGUUCUCUCAUUCUAAUAAAAGCAACGACAAAUAUAUAUGUACACACACAGCAUAUAUACACAGGGUAGAUUAUUUUUCGUAAUAUAAUCUCACCUAAAUAUUCUUCCAAGGCUACAGCUUUCCAAGGUCUAAAAUCUGUCAUUUUAUAGAAAGGACUAUUGAAAUCAACAUGGAAAUACAGGUGUUUCUUACCGGUAUGCAAACAAGAGGGGAAUUAGCACGGAUAGUAUCUGAAAGCCAGCUAAACCCUCUGAUACCAAAAACCAAUUGUAAAUUAAUUGUAAUCUUCCAUUGUCUGAACUGUUUUAAAGUGGUAGCCUCACAGCCUUUGUGUGCCUCUGUAUGCAUUGAUAAAUCUUUUGCAUCUUACAAAGAUUUAUUUCUUGUACCAGCCUGAUGUCAUCUAGGCUGCAUGGAAGGCUGCUGGAUUUCCCUACAUGCAAGCAGCAGACACAUGUUUCUGGGUAUAAUGACCUUCAUUCUAGAUUACAGGGAACAUCUAAACAAAACCAAGCAUGUGUGUCCUCAACACCAGUCUUCAACAAAUCAAGUAAAACCAACUUCCUUCUCCCAGACAUUCUUAAAGUUAAAAGGCAUGGCACUGACUUAAGUUAUGGAUUAGGCAUAAAUUAUAUAAGACGAUUAAAAAAAUUUAAGAAUAAACACUAGAAGACCAAAAUGAAUGCUACUUAUCUGUGGACAGUAUAGAAAAUAUAUCAAACAUGGGACACUUUAGCUUGUUGCAGCCACAUAAUUUUUUUGCUCUUGGCCUUCUCAUUUUAAAAUAAAACUACAGCAUGGUUUCAGACAGUAGGAGGCAGUGAGAAGUGCUUCUGCAUACAAUCUGCCUUUCGUUCCUAGGUUAAGACGUUCUUCUCUGGAAUGAAUGAUUUUUCUCCUGAGAGUGUUUCCUGUACUAAUAAGAAAAACAGGGGAAAACAGAUUGCGAGAGCUUAAUAAGCUUUUUUUUGGUUUGUGCUUUAUUUUAUACAUUCCAUGCCAAAUUUUGUCCUCACAUGAAUUCUUGAAACCUUUCUGAUUUCACAGGAACAUAUUAACUAUAAAAUAUUAUUAUUAUAUAAUAAUAUAGUAAUUAUAUAAUAAUAAUAAUAAUAAAGGAUUUUUUUUGUUCAUAGUGUCUAUAAAGCUUCCUUCUGUAUAAAGCACUUUAAACAUGGAAUGGCUGCUGAAGCAAAUUGACUAGAAUGGUUGUCAAUUUUACGCUGCCGCCUUCCCACCUGAAAAACACUUCUGGUGCCCUACAGAGACAUGAGAUGAAGGAGGAGAGGUAGGGGUAGAAAUAUGUGCAUGCACACACCUAAAGGAGAAGGCUUUAAAAAAGGAGAGAAAGUGAAAUAGUACUCUGUACUGUCUCCUGUACAUAUUUGCCUUGCUGGGUGGGGAGAGGUAUUUUCACAGGAUGGAAUGUAUCAAGUGAAUGCACAUUGAGUUAAAUUCAGUUCUUAUCUGCACUAGGACGUUAGCUUCAAAUAGCUUUGCUUAUGGACCAGAGAAUUCCCAGGGUACAUCUGAAGAAAAUGAAGAUUCCUGAAGAAAAUGAAGAUUCCAAGUUCAAAUCAGUUUUUGAAAGGUACAUACCUACUUAGUGUGCUGCUAUACUGUAGUUUUCAGGGAGAGAUUUUUUGCUGAGCUUAAUCUAGCAUCUCUCUAAUGAAUAUGUUAUAACCAUACCAGUUUGCAUCAGCUAUAUUUCUAGCUCUGUAUCAUCAAACCAAUCUACAAGCUUUAAUAAAUAUUGACCACAUGUCUUUAGUACAAAUAAAACUAUGUCCUCAGGAAAGAAGGUACUUGACAGCUCUGGCCUGCUGUAUUCGUGAAGAUUUGCCUGUGAAAGUCUAUUCUAGAACAUAAUCUUCAGCAUAUUUGGUAAAACAGAAGUGCUGUUAAUGCAGCAGUUACCAUUGGCAGUGUGAAAAUGGAUGCAAUAGGAACACACACCAGGAAAUUAUGUUGAUUAUGCAAGGUCUCCGUCUUUUGCAGUAAGAGUAGUGUAGUGAUAUGAAAUAAAAUUGAACAGCUGUUUCUCUGAGCAUUUGAAAGCUAGUGGAAUGUAAGCUAAGAACAUCUUCUGUGUCCAAAAGGCAGACUACUUACUGUUGUUCUUCAAUAUUCUGCUUUUAUUUUCAGGUACGUAACAGAAAGGUUACAUACAAUACAGUAUGACAACUCCAAAUGUUACUGUCCAGAAGCAGGCUGGUAUGCUCUCUGUGGUUCAUAUUUAUUUUUCUACUUUCCAUUCUGCUUCUUCUACUUAUAAAUGAAUAUACUGUAAUAAAGAUACUGCAAUAGAGAUAAUAUUUUGGCUUCAGAACUCUCGCAUACAACAAUCUUGUUUGCCAUACCGGAAGAACUGGGAUCCUAGAAAUUUUAUGAACAAAUUUGUCCCAUUCUGAUUUUGCAAUCUGACCACUGCUAAAUGAAGAAGUUAUCUCUUGCACCAGCAAGAAUAAAAUAACCCAAAUCUCCUCCCCCACAUUCAAACAAAGCACUAAAGGAGGCUUGCAAAAUGCUAGACUCAUGCAUUCUUUUUGUUUUAACCAUAUAGUCAUAUCCAUUUAGGAGAUCCAUUUAGUACUGCAGGUCUUUAUGAACAUCAGAGAGGCUAUGGAAUCUCCUUCUCUGGAGAUAUUCAAAACCCACUUGGAUGCUUUCCUGUGCAAGCUGCAGUAGGAAACCUGCUUCAGCUGGGGUUUGGACUGGGGGAUCUCCAGGUGUCCCUUCCAGCCCCUAUGGUUUGGCGAUCUAAGCAAGCAACAUCCUGCACUCAGUUCUCUGUUGAAGCUGGAAUGCUGGAAGAGAUGCAUCACAGUGGUAUUUUCCAUCAUCACAUAGGACACCAAAAAAGAGAAAGCUUUCUAAUAGGCCUUGUAUAAAAAGCUGAAGAAAUAUUGACAGUCUUGUAAUACUGUUUUCAAGGAUUAUUUUCUGAUGUCAGAGCCUAAGAAAUGCUUUAACACCUCUCUCAGAACAACACAUCAUCAUUAGGUUCAUAUAAACAUUGUUAUUUUAGAUACACUGAGGUUUUCUGUGUACCAGUUGUGGUGACAGUCAUUGCAGUGUUGUCAUUUAUUGUCUUUUUUCAUCUGAAAAAGAUUUUGUUUGAUGGUGGCUUGAGCCCCUUUAGGAACAUUUUUUCUGUGUUUCUCAUUGGUUGGAGAUAAGGAGAACAUCCUCAGAUACUAUAAGUUGUCAUAGCUCUAUCAACUCAUAAGCUGUUUUAGAUGAUCUGACUUACUAAUUGUAAUCAUUUACAUUUUUUGCAAUCAGUAAUGAUCUUACAUUCCAAUAAUGUGAGAUUUCUAUCAUCAAAGCAUUAAAGUUAUACAUUGUCUUUGGAAGAACAUUAGUUUUUAUGUUUAUUUUCAUUCAUAACAGAAAUGUAUAAUCAAUUAUUUCUACCUAGUUCAUUUUAAUUAGGUAAAUGCCUGAAUCUCCAUUAAUUAUGACUAAAUCUUUAAUUUUGUUAGACAGAUAUGAUCUAAAUACAGCAGGACCUUGUUCAUUGGAACACUCUUUAAUGGAACUUCUUUUUUAUCCAAAAAUUGGACUGUGUCCCAAACUGCAACAUUUGUAUUGAACAUUCAUUAUUUAUGAGUAGCAUAUUCCCCCCUUCUUGAUCAGUUUAACAGGAAAUUUAAAUGUUUUACGCUAAAUACUCAAUUCUCUCUGAAUUCUAUAAUGACUACCACAUUCCUUAGCUUCUAGUUGAUAACAGUAUUAUCUAGUAUCUGUCAUAGUUUUUUUAUUUUUCAUUUGAUGUCUCUUUUACUCCACGACACUUGAGAUGUAACCUUACCGUAAGUCAGUACAAGAAUCUUGCGUGCACUUUGCAAAGUUAAUAUUUUACUAAAACAAUUGGAAAAUUAAAUAGAUAAUUUUAAGAACACAUCUAUUUGCAUCAGUUUCAACUGUUCGCUUAUGAGAUUCAUUUCAGUUUGUGUGAAUUAUGCCAAGGAAACUCAGGCACAGGACAGGAGUCACAUCAUACUUUGGAGUCCACUUACUCUUUCUCUUGUGUAUUCUUUAUACCCUUGGUCAACAACUUUGAAGAAAGUGAUAUGUGUGUGAUUUAAAAUGUUACAUGGCUCAUUAACUGCACUAUAGCUGACAAUCAGAUUUCAAAGACUUGUUUCUUAAGUUAGCAGUUUUUUAGCACAGCCUCAGAUACUUCAGACCCCAGAUGUGCAAAGGAAUAAAAGAAUGAGGGCACUCUUUCCUGCUCCUGUUACCAUCCUCCCCGAGGAGCAGCAGUUAUCCUUGAAAGCUUUUCUGCUAAUGCAACUUUAAGUGCAAGGAGAAGCCUCCUCAGCUGCCCCUUGGCAUAGGAGAAUGGAGGAGGGCUGGCAGUAAUGUAGGGAGAUAAGGCAAAGGAAAGAUGCUGGCAGUGAUUUUAUCUUCAGUUCCAGAGUUCAUGCACUCACAAGCUCUAAAACCUGAGUGGAUGUUGUAUGUACCUGAUGUACACAGCACAGUCUAUGUCAGCUAAAACAGUGAGUUAACAUAACUCUAGCAAGGGCUCAGUGGAACCAGAAGAUGAUGCCACAAUGAAAAGCAAACAAAUAGAAGUGGGCUUGUGCCUGCCGAAGGAGGGGAGCUCAUGUGCAGCUGCACUAACCAGGAAAAUGCAGCUUACUAGUUACAACAGACUGCAGAGCUGAGAGAAAAUGGUUGGUGUGGCUGCUCCAGCAAGGAAGCCUGAGCUAUGGUCUAUUCUGUGAGGAGCUCUGAGGCAGUCAGCCAUCCUGCAUUAAUGUGAUACAUUGAGAGUCCAGGCAGAUCAGAACUGCAGUGUUUGCACCAGAGUUAGUCUGGCUUCCAACAGAGGGAGAAGUGAAUAACAAGCCAAUCAACAUGCAAAACACUGAGCAGAGCAGCGCAGCACACAGCCACCAGCCAAAAGCGAGAUUAACACGUGGCUGCAGUCAGGACAGUGACUCCUUGCUCUUGGCUUUCUCAGCUUUGCACGUCUGCUCCUUGUAUCUUCUGAAUCAUCUUUCUAGUGUUUACUGGUCAAAAUAAGUUGCUAUCCUUGUCAGCACUGCAUGAUGAAUACAGUAGGACUAGCUGAUGCUCGCUGCAAGUUCCCAGCUAAGGAAGAAGCUUUGCCCCUUUUGCCACUCUGGAGCUGCAUCCAGAGGGACCACCCCCAUCCCGAGGCUGGGCCAUGAAUGCCAUAACACGGGAAUGCAGCUGGCCCUGCCAACUGGGCACAGUGAGUGGUAAAGAGAAACCUCUUCCAAAAUGUAAAUGUGCUUGCCUGGCAUUGCUGGGGAACUUGGGUUGCCUUAUACAGAGUGUGAUCCUCCCUACCCCGUGCUCAAGUGGGACCUUCUUAACUUCAGUGGAUGCGACUCCUGGAGGUCAUUUUCCAGCGACAAUUAUUUUGGGGCUGGAAAUGUGUUUGUAGAAGGAAGCUCUCCUUUGUCUGUUGGAAAGAGCUGGCACCAGCAGCUGAGCUGAGACUGCUGGCUGCUUUCAGAUAGAGCACACUGCAGAUUUAGGAGGCAGCAAACUUUAGGCACUACUAGCCUGCUAUGGAUUUAACCAGAAAUUCAAAAAUGAAAAUCUCUGUAUUGCAUUACAAAUCCCCUGAGGCAUGCAGCAGGCUUUUUGUGUUACAGGUGUUUUGAUGGUUUUUUUUUUGUUGUUGUUGUUUUGUUUUUUUGGUUUUUUUUAAUAACUUUUCCAGAACUUCCAUUAGCUACUGUAAGAUAACUGCCCAUAGUUUGGCUCAGUUCUCCAACAGUCAGGUGUCUACAAGUCUGGAAGAACUGAUUUUUGCUUGUGUCAGUUGGUGCCAUUCUGUGAAACAUGCAAAAUGUUUUUGCUGUAUGUUUUCCAAAAUGGAACAUUUUACAGUCCUGCUCUAGUGCCAGGAUACCCUUACAAAAGGAGCUAAUCUUCACUAAUGAUUGUGUAAGAACAAAAUAAUAAAAAAAAAAACCCACUGUAACUUCUCUGAAUUUAUGGCAUUACAGUCUUUCCCAUGGCAACACAGAGAAUCAGACAGUUCAGUAGCAAAGUACAAACUGGAAGAAAAGGAAAACAAUGACCAAAAAAAAAAAAAAAAAAAGAAUAAACAAUGUAAUUUUCUCUAAAAGUAUAAGAACUAAGUAAUAAAAGAAAAUCCCUGUAAAUGGUAGUUUGUUUGUAAAGAAUACACUUCAGUCUAUGUUCAUUUCAAUCUAUUAAAUUACCUUGCCUAAAACUUUACAUAAAGCCCUUUUAUAUUACAUUAUACUGCAUAGGAAAGCAUUCAGGUCUAAUACUAUUACUGAUAAAGAAACCAAAAGCAUAUUUGGAGAGACUGAAUGUCUAUAAAGAGCAGACUAAGCAAGCCUCUUGAGAAACAAAACUCCCAUAUCAGAUUAUUGUGUGGAAAAAUAUAGCCUGCUCUUCUCAAUUACAGCACCGAUUGGGGUUAUUUAGAAAAGAAGUCAUUCUGAUUUUCUAUCAUAAAAUCACUUUUCUUAAGCCUGUAAACAUCCAAGAAAUUAAAUUUUUAGAUAAGAUCCAUUUUGCAAAAAGAUAUUUAUGAAAGGAUUCAGUUAAUGAGUAGAGAGAGUAGAGAGGAUUUAAUAACAUAAUAACUGACUAAUGCUAGCACGCAAUAAGUAUGCACAAUUAGAUUCCUGUACAGAGCUGGUGUUUUACCUCAUGUCCUCUGACAGUUCCUUAUAUAAGCUAAGUUGCUUGUGUCCAUCCUUCCUACAGUAGUGAAGGCUGUAGCAGAAAACUUCUAUUUAGGUCAUAACAAAAUAUUUAUUAAAAAAAAAGUUAUUAAAAAUAUUUAAUAGUGAUUGUCUGGGUAACAGCUUGACAGCUGAAUACAAAAUCAUACUGCUGACUUAUGGCUAUUAACAUAUGAAGCACACAAGGAAGUUAGGUUAUUUAGUGUAAACACAGGCCAAUUCAGUAGUGCCAAUGAUAUGAAAUACUAAAGUUUUCACAUUCAUAUUAUGGCUCAUACUAGCCUCAGAACUCUGCCGAGCCCUGUAGGUGAGCUACUGAAGUUAAUACGAGUCUUUUUAUUACAAGGCUCUUUGAGUCAAACCCUGGAAUUAACAUCAUUCCUGGUUGUGCAAUUUACCUCUGAACAAAAAAUGAUCAAAAUGUUACCCCAAGUCUGGCAAGAGAGAAAAAGAGGUAGUGGACUAAAAUCAGAAACACUAACACUGCACAACUAUAUCCCAUAAAACUAGAACUGCCACUUUACUACUUGAAUCUUUCCUAGUGAGAUUUAAUUUAAUUUUUAAGGACUUCAGGGCAGGUUAAUGAGGGUCUAUUUCUGUGGUAGACAAGAAAGUAUUUAAAGUGGGUCAAGUGCAGACCCUAGACAGACCACCACAAUACUUCAGGGCUUUAAAAUCCUGAACCAAACUUCCUAUGUUUGCAACAUUUGUACAUUCUGGCUCUUAGAACUGAUGCUGCCAGAGGUCACAGCCACGUGGUGCAGUGUUGUUGUAGCCCUGUACUGGGGCAGAGUAGUUGGGUUGUGUUGGAAGAGGCCAUACUCAUGGGUUAGCACACCUGGUAUGUAGUCAGGUUACAUUUCUGUCUGUACAGUGGAAUAUGAAACACAACAGAAGCAGUUAAAAAGUAGAAUAGGGAUAAUACACAUAAAUGCAAGCAGAGCAGUCUCUGAAAUCAGGUAUAUAUGACAAUCAAGAAUCAGACCCUUCACAUUUAAACCAUCUGUAAGAAAGCAAAGUCAGAUUGGCAGUGUGACCCCUUCCACAGGCAGUUCUCAGGCACCACUAGUAAGUCUCUGUUGGAGCUAGCUCCCAUACAACCACAAAGUAAUAGUUCCCACCAGCUGCAGCUGGAGAGAUGGUGUGUGCCCAUCCAGAAGACAAAGAGCCAUGCAGCCCUACUCAGCAUGGGUAAAAACCGAAAGAGAAUUUUAUUGAUGUAUGUGCCUGACAAAAAGUUAGCACUUAAAUAUCUAUGUAAUUGCAUGCAUUUAUAUUUGUGGCAGUGUCUUACUGCCACUGCAUCGCUAUUAAAAUGCAAAACAAGUGCAAGCAUGUUAUGUUUAUUAAACCACUAAAAAAAUGUUCAGCCAGCAUUAUGACUUAGGUUUCAAAAGCAUAGAAACAGGCAGGGAAAAGAAAGGGGAGGAAUCAGAAAUCAAAUUCUCAAUUUUCUCUUUGAUAACUAGGGUAGAGUAUACAGUCCUUUGAGAUGUCUGUGGUAAUGAUCUUGCCUUUUAGAAUAAAUGAUCUCAAAGUGUGCUGCAAAUUUAACAGUUUUACAUCAGACAUAAGUGCAAGACAACUGCAUAUGUGUCUGAGAUGUGCUAGGAAAAUGGUCACAGCAAGGGAAGAAUACCUUCUUUCCCCACCCCAAGAAACUGCCAAUCAGUCAUAGGUGUGCAGAAUGUAAUUAUGCAGACAGAAAUUAGGCCAGUUCACUAUGGCUAAUUCCUUGUCUUUUACAACAAGUGCCACAGGAUCUUUAAUGCCACAGAUGAUUAGGUUGUCAGCUUUAUGUAUCGUCUGCAAGUUGGCAGCUCUAGUAGCUUGCCCAACACCAUGUCCAGUUCAGAGCGCUAGGAUAAAUAUUGGCUGGCAGGGUGACAUGCAACAUUUCUCCUCAUUUCGCCCUGACUCCAUGUUCCCCAUUGGUAGAUCUGCAAAUCUAGUGCUUUCUCAUUCAUGCUUUCAGCUUAAAGUUUCUUUUUAUUAAAUCAGCCCUUCCAUCAUCAUCAUUUAUGUCCUAUUCAUACAUCAUUUCUAGCUAUUGUAAUACCUCUUCUCAGGAUUGAAAUAACUCUGACAUCAGCUUGUGCAGUCUGAACAAAGAGUCCUAAGGCAUCAGAAUACCUUUAUCUAAAAUAUACUCCUAAAUAAAUGAAAGGAAAAUAUUGUUUAUAUUCUUUUUGUGUUUUGUGAAUAAGAAUUAUGCAGGAAGAGAGCUAUUCAGCACUGAGUGCUUUCUGGCAGUAGCCAGAUGCAGGCCCAGCAGCUGGGGGAGGUUGCUGUGACUUCAAAAUGAGCACUGUUCCAAACUGUCCAGUUAAUCUCUUAUCUCCAAAUUUUGGAUGAUAACUAGGAUAUUGGCUACCUGAUAACACUGCAGUUAUCUUAGUUUUUAGAUCUCUCCUCUAAAUUCAAGUGUUAACUUUGUUCUGUUGCUCAUCUACCUUUCUGCAUAAUGUACUUGCCAGUUCCAUAACUGCUUCUUUUACAAACUUUUAGUCAGUCAGUUGUUGUAAGUCUAGUGUGAUAAUCAUACCUAGGUUUAUGAUGUGAAGAACAGAAUUGCAGAAUGGCAGCAUUUCUUUGCAUUAGAACUGUUAGAUGUUGUGCAGCAUCCAGAAGUGGCUGCUGUGUAUCAUAAGAUACAAGUACUCCACUGGGAAUCCAGAACACGCUUAAGCCACUAACCAAAGGUAAUUCUUAUACUCCAAAGAUGUUUUUUUGUUGUUGUUUUGUUUUUUUGUUUGUUUGUUUGUUUGUUUUUGCAGGGGCACUUUUUGAGAGAAUGUGUAAAAAUGAUGUUUUCAAAGUAAAGCUGGGCUCAUACUUGGAAAUUCUUCUUUAAAAAGCAAAACUCUGUUACACUGCUGGCAUUGUGGUGGAAUAGUGUCAGCAGAGUAUGGGUGAUGUCCAAGAGAAACUCCUGUUAUGUCACUUCCAGUUUCCAGCUUUCUCCUUCAAUUCACGUUGCUCUUCAGCAACAUGAGGAGAGCUGAAAGCAGGAAGGCUCUGCCCACUGCAGGUGGUGGCAGAGGGGACAUUCGCUAGUGUUUUCUGAGGCUCCUUUCCAGCUGAGGUGAGUUUCCCACGUCUUGGUGCAUCUUGUUGUAGAAUGCUUGAAAAAGACAAAAUGAGAAGCACUGAAUUCUAUAUUCUUUAAUAUAAUAUGCAGUGGCCCAACUCUGUUGUGUAAGUGAUGGAAAACCCUUACUUGCAACAGGUCUGAGAAAAGGGAAUGAGGAGAAACUGGAAUUCAGGUAGAUUUUCAAAUGACAUUAAAGUUGUGUUUUGUUUCAGUUUGAAAGUGCAUGUUGUAUGUUAGCUUUGGAUGAAUACAAAUUCUAAGACAGGAACAUUCCAUUCAUGCUUUUAGAAUUUUAGGUACAAAUUUCAAAUGGAUCUUUGGAAACGACUUUCCCAAACCUGUCUGUUGGCUCCUGGCACUGAGAGUCUCACUCCAUUCAAACCUGUUCUUUCUUUUCCCUGUGCUCCAUCUUGCUGCGUGUUUCCUUGUGUUCUGUGAUGUAUCAGUUAUAAAACUGUACAUUUUUACCUUGGUAUCCUGCCUGAAGGUGGUUCAUAGCAUGUAACAAGGCUGACUCUGUGCAAAAGGGACAACCCAUUUCUUGUGGGCAGGACACAAGCAUUUUUAAUGCCUAUCAAUUACUCUCACUUAAGAAAGAUGAUAAUAGUGGCUAAACUCAAUGGAGCUGGCGCUUUGGCUCUCAGCACUGAAAUGAUACUGCAUAUGUGUGUAUAUAUAUGCAUAUGUUUAAAGAGUAUGUAGAAGAACAGACCUUGUUUCUGAUAUUUACUACCUGCAUUUCUUUCUUUCAAAAAGGCAACAAUUAAUUAUUUGUUUGUUUUUUUUUACCAUUAAGAAGUUGUAUGGCAAUGGCUUGAUCCAGACUGCACAGGCACCCCUUUUCUAGGUGGUCUGAACACAGAAAGAUGCUUUCAGAUUUGUAGGAAAGGCUAUCCAGAAUGGAGACUAGUAGUGCCAUUCUCCUUUUGCUGGAGGAGUUCCCAUCUGUGAUUUGGCUUUGUGUGAUAACUUAAGCAUAGAUGUAGAAACACUUCUACACCGGAGCUCUGGAAGUAGGCUAGCAGCAUUCAGUCAUUGUUACAUGAUGAAGCCAGGCUAAGCGUGCCAAAGGCACCCUUCCCCCAACUCUCUCUGCAGACACACACAGACAGGCACACACGCAGUAUUAUCUCUGUUUGCCUUACUAAUGUCAUUGUGCAAUAUUCCAUUUUCCUCUCUCUUCUUGUCCCUAGGGUCCAUACCAAACCCCUGCUGGACCUUUUAUCCACCCACUAAGUCCAGAUUAAUUUAUUAUACUCCAUCUAGUUUUUGAACUGUUUCUUCUAAAUGUGUGAUGGGGCUUAGGGCUGUGCAAAGGGGAUUCAAGGAUAAGGGGAGAAAACAUCCUCAGGCUCUUGCUUACAGUGAGAGGUUGCAUUACAGUGUGAACACCUCUACUAUUAUUAUGCAUAGCCAUGGAAGAUGAUGCAGGCAGAAUAGCUGAUUAGAGCUCAUAUUUAGCUACAUUAACAUCUCAAGUCCAUUUUUUUCUUGUAAAUCUGAGUUCAUCAUAAUCUAAAAGCAAAUAUUUGCCUUUAGUAUCACUGAUUUAUGCAUAGAAUACAGUGUACUGUUCAUUUCCUUCUUAAUUAUUAUUUUUUUAAACAGCUUCCAGGCAGAAAGUCAAAGCCUGCUGUGUUUUAUAUUAUACUCUGCAACUCAUUUUCUUGUUGUUGCUGUUGUUUUUAAUAAAACAUCUAAUUAAUCCAUGCAAUCUGAAUACUUUCUGCUUAAACUCAAAGUGCUCAUGAAAGAAAUGGAAGGAAAUGUUUUUAGUUUGUUGUACCUAUGAAAGUAAUAGGUAGAUAAAAAGCGUAAGGAGAUGAAUCCUUCCUCACUCUAUGUCUAGCAUAUCAAUGGUGACUCUUGAUAAGGGUAACUACAAGUGGAAAAUGUCUGAAAAAGUUCUUAAAUGCUGCAGAAAUGACACUCCUAACUUUUGCCAUCUCACUAUUGUGCAUUGUAUUGCAUAAGAUGAACGUGAUGGUCUUGCAUUUGUAGCAAUAAACCUGCUAUUUCUUUUCCAUUUGUGGGAAGUCUCAGCUUGGCUUUUUUAUAGAAACCUGGUGUAAAGGAAACUUGAAGUUCUGUUGUAGCUCAGGCCUGUUUCUCUUGUGUAGAGCACUAUGAAUGACUGCUUAUGGUAGAAGUUUAUCUCUUUCUGAUUCAGCACCUUCUCCUGGAGAGAACACAGACAAGGGGCAAAGGGGCUAGCUGUGCCCCUCGAAAUUAAGAACUUCAGGCGGCAAAGUCUGAAAUAAAGAAAAGGAACUAGAGGAUUGUGCCCUCUGAUGAAUUAUCACCAGCACAAUUUUUAAUUGAAUGUUUGUCAGGCUUUUUCAUGAAAUACCAGCAGCCCUUUAAUAUCUUUAAAUUAUUACCUAGGUAAUUUCCAGUAACAAGGAAGUUGAAAAUCAAUGUAGAAAGUAUUACCAUAGUAAAAGUAAAAAGAUGUUUCCAAAUGAUAAUGUAGAAAACCUCACAAGAGAAAGCUUACUUGCCUAUGAAAUAGAGUCAGAUCCAAAGCUCACCUUUGAGGCAGUGUCACCUCUGCAGCAUGCUCUUGCUUUUACUUUUGCACCAACAAAAAAUCAUACAUGGCUUCCCUCUAGCAGAGGAUUGGUCUCAUUAAAAAUAACAACACUGUGUUCUUAAAAUAGGUAGGCUGCUCCAAAAGUAAUGCCUCCUAUUUCUUUCCAUGAAAACUAAAACAGAUGCAAAGUGCACAAUAACACUGUUUGAUAGAGCAAAUUCUCAGCUACAAAACACUAUUUUUCAACACAGUCACCAUGAUUAGCUGUGCAUUUUCACCAGUAAUGAACAAAAGCCUGUAAGCCAUGCUUGUGAAAAUCUGCACCAGAGGAGAUUUCUCUCCUCAGGCAGACCACUGUCGCCACUGCCCAGACCUUACUAUGCUCACAUCCACUGCUUGGUCUCCAUCAAUGUUCAGCAAGCAUCGAUGGAUAUCAGUGGGUCCAUUUCUUCCUCGUGGAGGAAUUCAAUUUUACCCUUUGUGUCAUAUAAUCUCCCACAUCAGACACCACUGUCAGACUGUCCCUCUGCUGCCAUCUGUCACACAGCAACAAAAUGCAGUGGGAUAUUGGUGGAAAGGUUCAACCUCUACUGCCACACCACCACCAUCUGCCUCCAACAUCAUGGGCCAACAUCAUCAUAUAGAAGACACUACUUUUGGAGCAGCCCUCAUAUAUUUUUGUCUAUUUCCAUAGAAAAUAAAACUAUUUGUAAAAAAAAAAAAAAAAAAAAAAAAAAAAAAAAAAAAACACUAUGGAAUGGUUUACAACAGGAAUGUUUUCUUCUUACAACAAUGUGUUUACAUGCAUAUUUGUAUCGUGUGCAAAUUAGCUGAGUUUAUGAGCACAUGGCCCUAUCACAUUUUGAAACUUUCCAAGCAUUCCUUCUUCUAUUUUUUUUCAUUAAGCUUUUCCCUCACCUUAUAGAUUAUAUCUGUAGUAGAUUUUAACUGCUAUGCAAUAAUAUUGUAUUAUCUUAGCAUCAGCAGUGUCACAGAGCAUUAAGAGAUGAAGUAAAUCCAGCUAUUCCUGAAAAGAUGAGUAGCACACAAACCUGUAGAGUUGAUGUAGACAGUUCAUUUAUGUCCAUCUAGCCAAAAGCAGGUAUUAUUUUGUGAGGGAGCUAUGAGGGGGAGGGAAGAUGUAAAAUUACAGAAUAGCAGUUGACCUAAAAUAGGGAGUUGGUAAGAUUUCACUCACCUGCCAAGUAACUUCACAUGGAGACUCCAAAAGAGAUUGCAGAUGACACCAGAAUUGUUGUUCAAAAGGUUUGUGUUUUGAUUUACACAAGGACGAAAGGGUGAAUGCUGGACUAUUUACAAAUUCAGCUGUGCCCUAUUUCAGUCUGAGACAAAGUCACACUGCAUAAAGAGAAUGCUAUAUGCCUGAUUCAGGUAAUUUCUGACAGUUUCCAUUCCUCUCCUCUCAGCUUGCUUUGGUAGAAAGCAAAUAACUUACCAGUGGUUUGGCAAGUUUGUUACCUAAGCUUACUGCUUGAGCAAGUACAACAAAAGCUGGUAAUUUUCCAACACUUGAAGCAUGUCUGUUUUUUAUUUGAUGAGCAGGAAAGCAGGGUUUUGUGAUCUUUAACACCCUGGAAGAGCAACUGGCCAAGGUUUAAAACUGGCCCAGCAGCUGGCAAGUCCCUCGGGUCCUGGUCCCAGCUGCAGAUCAAAUAGGCUGCUGCCUGGGAGGGAGCGUGGCCUGUGCUGCAGGGAAAGGAAGGCUCUUCUGGGCUCUUAUGCAGCAGAGUAUUGCUACCUAACCUGCAGAAGAUAGGUGAUGCUGGCAGCUGCCCUGCUCUUGCACUGAAAAUAGCAUCUUGUUCUAGAGGUUUUUACACCAGAAUGCUUGUAGCUGACACCUUGCAUGACGAGCUUAUGUGUGAUGCUGCCGGCUACUGACGCACAAGGUAAAGGUGUUCCUGUUAUUGAUGCUAACCUGACAUCAUCCUUCUUUUGGGUAGCACACAGCUUAUACCAGUCUGGGGUUGUUUUGUAAUUCCUCAUCUGCAGAACUGAGUUCUGCUGCUUUCUGCAAUCUUUGCUGUAUAAUAGGGCAUAAGAAAUCUCUGGAAGUCUUCUGCUGCAAAAACAGAGAAAACCCUUACAAAGGUUCACCAUGACCUAUUGUCCUGCAUGAGGUACUGCACAUCUUCCCUGUGUAUUGGUAUGUCUCUUUUCUGAAGAGAAAAAAAAAUAAGAGAAAUCCUAAAGCACAUCAGACUUCUUUGAUUUCAGUCACAAGUGCACAUGUGAGAGACAUUUGCUAAUGGGACUCAGUCUAAUUUUGGAAAAAAUACAUAUCUUAUCUUUCUAAUUCCACUAGAAAAAAAUAAAUCAAAGAGGUCUUUUAACUUACUAUAUUAUCUUUACUUAGACACUUAAUUUUACAUUGAUGUGGGUCUUGGUCUUCCCAGGAGUCAUACCCAGGAGUGACUGCACAGAUGCCUUCAGGGAGGAUUGCUGUUUGCUGAUGUGAUGCUAGGGACAAACAGUCCCAGCAGCCAGCUCUGACUUCACAGCACAUGGCCAGAGUCAGAGCAGCACCAUGCUUUGAUCUUCUGCAAUGUGUCACCUUUGCUAAGGGUAAAUGUGAGUCAGUUAUUGAAUGUCAUUGCUGAAAUUACUUUUCUUUCAUUAAAACAGAAAUGCAAGCUUGUAUGAAAUGGUAAAGUAUGUACAAGAACACAGUGUUUUAACAUGUUUGAAACUAUUUUUGAAGUAUACCUAACGCAAAAUGUUGCAAACUAAUCCUGUAAAGUUGUUUAUUAACAAUAAAUAUUCUAAGCAAAGCUGUUGGAAUUGCUGCUUCACAGUAAUCUGCUGAAUCGAAAAUUCCUAUACAAACAAUGUCUAUUCAUUUCAAGGUAACAGUAAAAUCAGCUAGAUUCAAUAUCCCACACUCAAAAUUCUACUUUGCACUGGUACAGGGAAUACUUAUUUUAAGCACAUCCAUAAAAUACAUAUUUUAAAUGAUAUUUUGCAGUUCAGUAGUUUCUCUAACCCAAGGAACCCAAAGUGCUUCUCAGAUGGAGGUGAAGUUAGCUUCAGAGUAGUCCUGUAAGCACAAUUAUUUUCAUUUUACAUACAGAGAAAAUGAGCAGUGAAAGCUGAUGGUUUGUUCAAGGUUGCACACAGGUGCUGGCAUAAAGAACAGACCCUGCACUUCUUGCAUCCCACUUCUAUGCCUUAACCAGAGAGCCCCCAGCUGGAUUUCCACAUUAUCCUGUGGUUGAGCAGCUUUCAUUAGAUCAGUGGAGAUUCAGGAACCAUUAGAUUCAGGAGAUUCAGAGCUAAUUAAUGCUCUGGCACUUCUCAAAGCCUCCAUGGUCUUUACCUCUGUUGAUUCCAUAGGGCUUGAUGACUUGCAGUGAAGACUCUGAAGAGAUGACAGAGAAAGACAAGUAAAACUUGGGAACUCACUAACAUUGUCUGACAAAAGUAGAGGCCAUACUCAGAAACAUGUGUUAAAGUUUUACAGGCUUCCCAUUCUUCUUCAACACUGGACAUGAAAGCUUCAAAGCAAGACCCCAUCAUGUUAAUAGAACCUUGAAACCUGAUAAAUUAAAAUUGUUCCUUAUUACAGUCCUCUGCAUCAUCCCUAUCACACUGCUUAAAGUGAAUUGCCUUGAUUCUCUUUUAAAACUAAACAUUUUCAGAUUAAAGAAAGAAAACAACCCAGCAACCAACAGGAUUCCUGUGUAAGUCACAAGGAGUCAAGUAUUACACCCUGCCACCUGUGCUUCUAAAUAAUUAGGGAGGGCCAUAAGCUGCUGCUGUUAGAUAAGGAUCAAUGCCUCCCAGAAGUUUGGGCUAAGACAUUUUAGUUCAAGUUUGUAACAUCUCCAAUUACAUCUCAUUGUAUUGAGAGGUUUUAACUGUUUCAACUUUUCUGCUAGUAAGCAGAUUAAUUAUGAAGACAAUAAAGAAGCUAAGUUAUUAACAGUGAUGGAUUUUGGAGCAGGGUUGUGAUUUUUCAGUUCAAUUAACAAUGGCUUGUCAGGAAUGUUUGGACAUCAAGAAGCCGUACGUUUCAAAGAGCCAGAAGAAUGCUUGUCAUUAAAUUGUAACAUCUAAAUUUUCAAUAGUACUCAGUCUCUCUCUCCCCACACAGCAAAGGUUUAUUUUGUUUGCAUUUUACUUGGGUAUUUUGAUAUGACUCAACAACCCCCAAAUGGGUCAUCAUUAAUGGAUAUGGAUAUUCCCAACAGGGGUACUUUACCUCAUCAGAAUAUGUGUACAAAAAACAAGUUCUCUCUGAAACUAACUUAUAUUUUCCAUCAACUUCUAUGAAGGGUAGGCAGACAAUUCUUAGAAAUACAAUAUUUUGUGAUCUUAGGCAUUUAUAUGGCUGUAAUAUGUCAUAUUGGCAGGAAGUGUCGAUCUGCCUGGGGGUAGCAAGGUCCUACAGAGGGAUCUGGACAGUCUGGAUCAUUGGGCUGAAGCCAAUGGAAUGAGGUUCAACAAGACCAAGUGCUGGGUCCUGCAUUUUGGCCACAGCAACACUGGGCUACAGUCUUGGGGCAGAGUGGCUGGAAGACUGUGUAAAGGAAACAGACCUGGGGGUAUUGGUCAGUGCUCAGCUGAACAUGAGCCAGCAGUGUGCCCAGGUAGCCAAGAAGGCCAAAGGCAUCUUGGCUUGUAUCAGAAAUAGUGUUGCUAGCAGGAACAGGAAAGUAAUUGUACCUCUGUACUCAGCACUGGUGAGGCUGCACCUUGAGUACUAUGUUCUGUUUUGGGCCCCUCACUGCAAGAAAGACAUCAAGGCCCUGGACCGUGUUCAGAGAAGGGCAACAAAGCUGGUAAGGGGUCUGGAGCAUAGGCAUUAUGAGGAGCAGCCAAGAGUGCUGGGAUUUUUCACUAUGGAGAAGAGAAGGCUCAGGGGAGACAUUAUAGCUCUCUAUAACUACCUGAAGGGAGGUUGUAGUAAGCUGGGGAUCUGUCUCUUCUCUCAUGUAACUAGUGAUAGGACUAGAGGGAUUGGCCUCAAUCUGUGCCAGGGGAGAUUCAGGCUGGAUGUUAGGAAGUACUACUUUUCCAAGAGAGUGGUCAGGCACUGGAAUGGGCUGCCCAGGUAGGUGGUGGAGUCACUGACCCUGGAGGUGUUCAAGGAACGUUUGGACACUGUGUUGAGGGACAUGGUUUAGUGAGAACUAUUGGUGAUGGGUGGAUGGUUGGACUGGAUGAUCCUGUGGGUCUUUUCCAACCUUGGUGAUUCUGUGAUUCUAUGAUGUAUAUACAUGUAACAGCAGAAAUGGAAGAGUUUGGGGUUUUGUGUUUUUUUUGGGGGGGGGGAACAGGGGGGAAGGGAGGAAAAAACAUAAAUAUAACUCGCUCUUUAAAAAUCUGUGUAAAUUAGUUUGGGGAACAAAGAGAUGAACAUGUUUUACACUAUUAAUAAGGCUUAAUGUAUAAAGUAUUAAGCACCUCUUCAGCACUUAGAGUAGCACAGCUAAUGCUUUAACUUGCUUGACAUUGGAGCCUUUUUAUCACUUAUAUCCCAGCAUAUUUACAAAUUGAGAAGAGGCUUGUUGAAUCUUGUUCUGUGACAGACUUCUGAAGUAUUCAGGCUGGUAGCUUGUAAUUACUUCAUCCUGGCUCUGAGUCAAAGCAGGCCAGCACAGGGGAGGGAGGCGUUCUCUUGAACCAGCCGAGGCAGAGAACAGUAGCAUGCUUUUAAAGGAGAAGAGCACGAACACUGGGCUUUUCUUGACAUACAUCAUUAACUAUUAACAGAGAUUCAUUAUUUUUGUGGAUUUGUCACAAUUGGCUCUUAGGAUAGAGUGUCUACAUGCUAUAUUAAUUAUCCCUAACCUGCUUGGAGGCACAUUUGUGAUUGCCAAUCAUUUAUUGCCAAUUUACAUACUUGAGGGAGGAGAUGAGGGGGAGAUAUUCAGAAACAUAAAAACACAUUAGAGUUAAUGUAUUAACAUUUUCCCUGAAGCUCAUCCCAUUCCAUGUCUUGAUGAGUCCAUCUUAGUCCUGAAUAAUCCUCACCUCUUGCAUCCUCGGCAAGCGACAGGAAAACUGAACAAUUUCCUUGAGAUUACUUGAAUUCCUUGGAAUAAUGUCAGUUACUGUGUCAAAUUUUUGGUUGUUUUUUAAAGAAUGAAAUGAUAUAUUCAUAAUAAAGUUGUGAUUUUCUUAUUUGAUAUGAAAUCUCAAUGUUUUCUUUUUGCAUAACCCACUUUGCAGUGUGUCAGGACACAUUUUCCUAACAAUCCAUAAGGGAACAGAAACUCUCACUUUGAAUAUAUAUGAGUUUAUUAUACUCUCUGCAUGAGGUUUGAAGUGACUUGUUUUCUCAUGGUAAGAGAGAGUGGAUGAAGCUCAGUGUGGGUGUUGUGGUAGUACCAUUAGCCAGCCAUACCUGAUCUGAGAUGUCACGCCUGACUGUACUGCACCAUCAGGGCUGAGGUGCUCCUGCUUUGUCAUCAUUAAGUGGGUGGCUGCUGUGGCAAAAUGCUUCUGCUCAGUGAAUCAAUCACAAAAUAAAUGUUAUACUUCUGCAGGGGAAAUAUCGUGCCUCCUUCUUGACUUCCCACUCCCAGCACUUUUAUUCCUCUGCUACCCUGACAUGCUGCAACAGCUUUAUGAAAACCAAAGGCUUUAAUUGUAAAACUACCACUUCACUGAAGACAUGCAGGAUUUAUUCAGUGCUCAGCUCCCAGAGAUCACUUUAUUUGGCAUUCCUCAUUUAUUUUUCCUUCACUCCAUCUUACCAAGCAAAGUUUAAUAUUUAAACAUGUGCCACAUUCUCUUCGUGAGCUUGAGUUGCUUGAAAAUGUCAUGCUGUGUCAGCAUUUCUUUCCUAUUGGGCUGGGAGCCCCAGCAGCUCCCGCUGAGCAGCCCUUCUGGUGGGGCAGUAAAGGACUGUGCAGCCUCAAGGAUGGUGCAGCCACAAAAUAACAACCAUUGAGCUCCUUACAAUCCCUUUUCUAAAAGGCACCACAGUUUGGAUGUGCUAGAGAAAACUUUCUGUUUUCAUCAUGAGGGCUAAGUGCUCACAGAGCAUCCUGUGCACAGUUACCUUAACAGGGCUGCUCCUUGUACAGGGAAGUCUCAAACAUGCCUUCAGUUGAUAAAAGAUAAUAGCAUUACUUCAUAUCAGAGCAAUUCCUAUGACAACCCAUCCAGAGCAUGGCACAGAGCUGCCCCAGCUGAGGGAGCUGCAGUGGGCCUCACCUGCUGGGCCCAAACGGCUGUGUCCCACUCUCAGGUCUGUGCCAGCUUGCUAUGUAGUAGUAAAUGCGUGCUGCAUAUGCAUGAUAAUACAUGUCUCCAAGGUUUAGUGGAUCUGGAAUUAUGCCAUUUGUUUUACACUAAUUGAAGCGCGUGUCUACAAUAGGAUAAAUAGAGACCAUAAAAUAAGGGUACUGCAUAACCUAUCUUAUUACUGAACAGGCAGUCACUUGCACAGCACCUGAAAAUGUGUUCUGUAAAAAAAAAAAAAAAAAAAAAGCAGCUCAUUUCUGUUCAUAUGUGUGCAUGUAUUUGGCUAAUAGGAUUUAUUUAUUUCUUCUAAGCCAGUCUGAGACAACACAUACUCCUUUACAGCUUUUCAGA
Molecule: long non-coding RNA, 24359 nt
Organism: Gallus gallus (chicken)
Lineage: Eukaryota; Metazoa; Chordata; Aves; Galliformes; Phasianidae
Exons: 3
Source: RefSeq, a predicted model, not a curated record